RNAcentral lists this ribosomal RNA (253 nucleotides) under uncultured bacterium. RNAcentral's name for it is "partial 16S ribosomal RNA". It matches the Rfam family "Bacterial small subunit ribosomal RNA", at positions 524 to 776 of the family's 1533-position model. The record is from RNAcentral.
UACGUAGGGUGCGAGCGUUGUCCGGAAUUAUUGGGCGUAAAGGGCUCGUAGGCGGUUUGUCGCGUCGGGUGUGAAAACACCGGGCUUAACUCGGUGCUGGCUUUCGAUACGGGCAGACUAGAGGUAUGCAGGGGAGAACGGAAUUCCUGGUGUAGCGGUGAAAUGCGCAGAUAUCAGGAGGAACACCGGUGGCGAAGGCGGUUCUCUGGGCAUGUCCUGACGCUGAGGAGCGAAGGUGUGGGGAGCGAACAGG